Molecule: ribosomal RNA, 225 nt
Filed under: uncultured Acinetobacter sp.
Lineage: Bacteria; Pseudomonadati; Pseudomonadota; Gammaproteobacteria; Moraxellales; Moraxellaceae
Description: partial 16S ribosomal RNA
Rfam family: Bacterial small subunit ribosomal RNA
Source: RNAcentral
UGCGUAGGCGGCUUUUUAAGUCGGAUGUGAAAUCCCUGAGCUUAACUUAGGAAUUGCAUUCGAUACUGGUUGGCUAGAGUGUGGGAGAGGAUGGUAGAAUUCCAGGUGUAGCGGUGAAAUGCGUAGAGAUCUGGAGGAAUACCGAUGGCGAAGGCAGCCAUCUGGCCUAACACUGACGCUGAUGUGCGAAAGCGUGGGGAUCAAACAGGAUUAGAUACCCGCGUA